GUCCCUGUAGCGCUGUAGAUAGCGCGUUGGACGUCUAAUCCAAAUGUCGUGAGUUCAAAUCCCCAUCUGGGAUG
Non-coding RNA from Trichonephila clavipes, 74 nucleotides. The record is from the annotation of a GenBank genome assembly. NCBI's taxonomy places the organism in Eukaryota, Metazoa, Arthropoda, Arachnida, Araneae, Nephilidae.